Molecule: non-coding RNA, 191 nt
Filed under: Granulicatella sp. zg-84
Lineage: Bacteria; Bacillati; Bacillota; Bacilli; Lactobacillales; Carnobacteriaceae
Also listed under: 3 other names
Description: 6S RNA
Rfam family: 6S / SsrS RNA
About the family: E. coli 6S RNA was the first non coding RNA to be sequenced, but its function was unknown until recently. It consists of 184 nucleotides that fold into an extended hairpin structure with a large single-stranded internal bulge. The 6S RNA specifically associates with RNA polymerase holoenzyme containing the sigma70 specificity factor.
Source: RNAcentral
AGAUUUCUGAGAUGUACGUCAUAUUUCUAAUGUGUUGACCUUACAUAUUUUUAUUGAUUUAGGGAUCCUUUAGAUACAUGUGAUAACAAGCCCUUUCACUUGGUAGUUAAAUAACAUUUACUUUGGAGCCCACCUGUUUUUAAGCAGGUUCAAGACAAAGAAAUAUAUCAAACGGCAUCACCGGAUGUCUU